RNAcentral lists this ribosomal RNA (920 nucleotides) under Enterobacter hormaechei. RNAcentral describes it as "partial 23S ribosomal RNA". It matches the Rfam family "Bacterial large subunit ribosomal RNA", at positions 229 to 1191 of the family's 2925-position model. The record is from RNAcentral. Lineage: Bacteria; Pseudomonadati; Pseudomonadota; Gammaproteobacteria; Enterobacterales; Enterobacteriaceae.
CCGAGAUUCCCCCAGUAGCGGCGAGCGAACGGGGAGCAGCCCGGAGUCUGAAUCAGCUUGUGUGUUAGUGGAACGGUCUGGAAAGUCCGACGGUACAGGGUGAUAGUCCCGUACACGAAAAUGCACAUGCUGUGAACUCGAAGAGUAGGGCGGGACACGUGGUAUCCUGUCUGAAUAUGGGGGGACCAUCCUCCAAGGCUAAAUACUCCUGACUGACCGAUAGUGAACCAGUACCGUGAGGGAAAGGCGAAAAGAACCCCGGCGAGGGGAGUGAAAAAGAACCUGAAACCGUGUACGUACAAGCAGUGGGAGCACCUUCGGGUGUGACUGCGUACCUUUUGUAUAAUGGGUCAGCGACUUAUAUUCUGUAGCAAGGUUAACCGUAUAGGGGAGCCGAAGGGAAACCGAGUCUUAACUGGGCGUUAAGUUGCAGGGUAUAGACCCGAAACCCGGUGAUCUAGCCAUGGGCAGGUUGAAGGUUGGGUAACACUAACUGGAGGACCGAACCGACUAAUGUUGAAAAAUUAGCGGAUGACCUGUGGCUGGGGGUGAAAGGCCAAUCAAACCGGGAGAUAGCUGGUUCUCCCCGAAAGCUAUUUAGGUAGCGCCUCGUGAACUCAUCUUCGGGGGUAGAGCACUGUUUCGGCUAGGGGGCCAUCCCGGCUUACCAACCCGAUGCAAACUACGAAUACCGAAGAAUGUUAUCACGGGAGACACACGGCGGGUGCUAACGUCCGUCGUGAAGAGGGAAACAACCCAGACCGCCAGCUAAGGUCCCAAAGUCAUGGUUAAGUGGGAAACGAUGUGGGAAGGCACAGACAGCCAGGAUGUUGGCUUAGAAGCAGCCAUCAUUUAAAGAAAGCGUAAUAGCUCACUGGUCGAGUCGGCCUGCGCGGAAGAUGUAACGGGGCUAAACCAUG